Molecule: transfer RNA, 72 nt
Filed under: Ovis aries (sheep)
Lineage: Eukaryota; Metazoa; Chordata; Mammalia; Artiodactyla; Bovidae
Rfam family: tRNA
About the family: Transfer RNA (tRNA) molecules are approximately 80 nucleotides in length. Their secondary structure includes four short double-helical elements and three loops (D, anti-codon, and T loops).
Source: Rfam by way of RNAcentral
UCCUAUGUAGCUCAGUCAGUAAAGCAUUUGCCUGCAAUGCAGGAGACCUGGGUUCAAUUUCUGGGUCAGGAA